CAAAGUCUUGCUUCGCAAAAUGUGGUCUGCGGGACUGGCAGCAUCUGCAUCACUGGGAGCUUGUUAGAUAGAAAUGCAGAAUCUCAAACUACUUAACCAGAAUCUGCAUUUAAAAAACACAGCCGGUUGAUUUGUGUGCGCAGAGAAGUUUUAGAAGCAUUACACUAAAUACCUCUUGGGAACAGAGACGAGUUGGUUCCUAAUCAAAGACAGGCAGAGACGCACUGUGUCUGCUGGGCAUCUCUGAGGACAAGGCAGAAUUGUUUCAAUCAAUCCCAAUGAGAGAUUGAUACAUUCCCAUCAUUGACAUUAACCCCCUAUGACAGUGAAUCUUGCUUGGAAGCCUCUUGUGUGCCUAGGCUAUACCUUUACCAAACUUGCUUUUUUUCUUCAACCCUUGGCAGCCACUGGCCUAGUGGAUACAGUCCAAAAUAGAUGUAGCAUAACAUAAUUGAAUAUUACAUUUCCAGUGCAUCACCUAUUACAUUUGAACUAACAUCUCUUCCUGCUAUCCUUGUACCCUCCAUUUUUACAAGAUUACUCAACACACCUUCCAUAUCUAAUCUAUGCUUGUUCACGUCUUUUUCUCAUCCUGGAUUCCUUUCUUUCUCUCUAUUUCUGUAGAAAUUCUUCACAUCUAUAAAGGCACACAUUAAAGUUUAUUGCGGCCAUGAAACCUUUCAUAAUCAGAAUUCGUCACAUUCUACCAGUUGGACAAAUCAGCUCUAGGCAACAAACACUGGCUGUAUAGAAAGUCAUAAUCAAAAUGAUCUAUAACAGUUCUGCCAAUGUGUAUGUCAACAUACUCUCUGCGUUCAUAAAAGUUUUCCACAAUUGAAUAAGAACUGAGGGAGAGACUGUUCAGGAACUCGGAGUCUCAUUUUACUACCAGGCACCUGGAGUCCAUCCUUGAAAAAUUCCACCCAUCAGACCAGAAGAAAUUUCACCUUUCACAUCACUUCAGAGUGACCCAGGAGGCAAUUUCAACCUGUCUGCUUCUUUUACUCCCUCCUGAAUUCUGUAAAAAAAACUUCCUAAUAGCUACGAUAUUGACGGAGUGGUUGGUGCUGCUCACAUGUGUGGGUAAACAAGAAUUGCUCGUGAGAACGUACCAUCCAGUGAGCCCAAGUGGUCCAACAAAGUGGCCACUACAACUUGACAAUCAAAGGAAAGAUAUUAUUAUAAAGAGUCAUAUGUCCUGGAAGUAUUUUCUUUUCUUUUUUUUUUUUUUUGAGACGGAGUCUCGCUCUGUCGCCCAGGCUGGAGUGCAGUGGCGCGAUCUCGGCUCACUGCAAGCUCCGCCUCCCGGGUUCCCGCCAUUCUCCUGCCUCAGCCUCCCGAGUAGCUGGGACUACAGGCCCCGCCACCACGCCCGGCUAGUUGUUGUUGUUGUUGUUGUUUUUUGUUUUGUUUUGUUUUUGUAUUUUUUAGUAGAGACGGGGUUUCACCGUGUUAGCCAGGAUGGUCUCGAUCUCCUGACCUUGUGAUCCGCCCGCCUCGGCCUCCCGAAGUGCUGGGAUUACAGGCGUGAGCCACUGCGCCCGGCCGGAAGUAUUUUCUUGAAUUGGUAUUUAAGGUGAUGGGUAAUUUAUAUUUCAAAUGACACAAACAUAUUGUACACUUAGAUUCAUGCUUUAAAUUUUAAAACCUAUGUGCCAGGCAAUGUGCUUGACAUUUUAAAAUAGAUUAUCUCUCAUCUUCCCCUAAGUCUGAAUAUGUAGCAUAUAUGCCCAGUGCUUAGGAAUACUUGAUAGGAAGCAGUAUGUAAUUGAAAACGUUUGGUAAAUCACAUAAAGAUUUAUUCAAACAUCUUUGUGAAGAACCAAACAAAGUAACUAUAGUAUGGUUCAUAAUAAAAUCACUAGUUUUUAGAUGUGAUGUUAGAAUUACAGAUCUAUUUUUAGAUGUCUAAAUUUAGUGCAAUGUGGUUGUACAGAAGUAGGUUGAAAUCAGUUUUCAAAAUGGAUCAUUUUUUUUUUCUAGUAAGCCCAUUAUUCAUGAUAAAGUCUUCAGAGAAUAUGAGUCGUUUCUCCAUUUUAUUUUAAUGGUGAAUUACGCUAUGCAAAUUACCAGUGCUUAUCUUAUUGUGCACAAAUAAGUGACCUAAGUAGCUCAUUUAGUGCUGCACAUUUGUUUAUGUUGGACCUCGUUCUGAAAUGUCACCACACUAACUUGCUAUUUACUUUAUACGGCAGUUACAAGAGAUGAUUCAUCUCUUGUGUAUGAGCAUGAUUUUUAUUUUAGCCAUCAAUAACCGUGACAAUGAUAAUACACUGUAAGACUGAUAAUGAUGAGGUUUUUCCCUACCAGCUUAGUGUAAUUGAUAGUAAAAAUAAAAAGAUCAAUAAAACCGUGAACUCUUGCCUUGACUAAGCAACUGGUAAUAUAGAGACGUUUAGAGUAAUUUGAUUAAAAUAUGAACAACUAAAUUAAUCAUGAAUGAUAAUUUAUAGAACAGACUUACCAAAAUGAUUAUGUGGUGUGUGUGGGUGUGUGUGUGUGUGUGUGUGUGUGUGUGUGUGGUGGGGGAGAUAAUGGAAGAAAAAAAAUCAAAGAAAGUAUAAUAAUCUUCAUGGUUUAAAACCCAGUGUAAGGAAGGUAGUAAGAUGUCAGAAGAAAUAAUCAUCAACCAUAUGAUUCUCAACAGAGAAGAAGAGGAAGGUAGUGGUCAUCAAGCGCAGGCAGAUCACAAGGGAAUAACAGCUAGUUGGUCAAAUUUACCAUAUCCUACUUAUCAAACUUCUCGGAAGUGAGUAGGAAGCCCUACCUUCUCCCUUGAAGCUCUAAAAUGCCUCCCGGAUUGGGACUGAUUGAAGUUUUUAGGUCAUACAUCCCACUAUCAUAACCAUAAUGGGUCCAACUCAGGAGAAAUUAAACUACAAAUAAUAUAUACUUGCAAAGGUAUAAAAUUAAUUCUGUGUUAACAGUGGGAAAUUAUACAAUCGUGGUCUAUUAAAUUCAACAUAGAUAUACCUAAGUGACUGGAUUAGUGCAAAUAAAGGGAAUUAGGGGAAUAUUUAGAAAUUUUAUUAGCAGUUUAAAAACAAUAGAGUAGGGAGUGAGAAGUGUCAUGUAUAAGGGGAAUAAUUAUGGCAGAUUUAACUGCUAAAUUAUCUUUAAUUUUAGUUUGGGGAUCCUGUUUUGAUUCAGAAAUUAAUUAUAGUAGGUUUUUAAAUCUAUAUGUGGAGAGUUUUUUUGGAGGAAGAGGGGGAAAUCUUUCCACUGGUGACUUUUAGUCUGACUGGCUUAUGGUCAGAAUAUAUGGUCUGUAAAUCUCUAUGUUUUGAAAUUUGUUAAAGUUUGUUUCAUCAAAUUCAUGAGUAGUUUUUAAUAUUUUUUUCAUGGAAUAAGAGAAGUGCAUAUAUUCUCCGUAGGCAGCAUGGUGGUUGAGUCUUAAGACCAUAGGCCCUAGAGCCAGACCUAUCGGCUCUGCUGCUCUCUGGCCAUGGAGUAUUAAGCAACUUACCUGUUCAGUCAGUGCCUCAGUUUUCUAUCUAUAAAAGGCUGUUAGGAAGAGUUUAUAAGUUAGUAUGUCAAACCUCAGAAGAAAACCAGCAUGGCUUUCUUGAUGUAAGUAUGAUGUAAUUGUUUACUAAACAUAUCUCUACCUACUUUUAUCCACAUGCAUACACACACACACACACACACACACACACACACA
Long non-coding RNA from Macaca nemestrina (pig-tailed macaque), 3661 nucleotides. The record is from Ensembl. NCBI's taxonomy places the organism in Eukaryota, Metazoa, Chordata, Mammalia, Primates, Cercopithecidae.